RNAcentral lists this long non-coding RNA (674 nucleotides) under Equus asinus (donkey). RNAcentral's name for it is "lncRNA (ENSEASG00005032832.1)". The record is from RNAcentral. Lineage: Eukaryota; Metazoa; Chordata; Mammalia; Perissodactyla; Equidae.
GCCUCCCCGGCGCAGCGGCGCCUCUGGGCCGAGCACGCGCACCAGCGGCCUCCGCGCAGGCUCCGUGCCCGCGCACGCGCCCUCGCGUCGCGCUCCUGGCGGAGACACCUGCGCUCGGGCCCGGCUCCGGGCGGUUCUCCCGGUGCCGUUCCACCGGGACUUCCGCGCUUCGGCGGCCUUUCUGACGAGCCGCGGCGCCCGGAGAUGUUCAGGUUGGAGCGACACUUCCCAGAGGGCAGCGGUCACGCCAGAUCUUCGGCUUCCAUUCCGUUUUCGCGCGGUUCUCCCUCUUCGCAAGGAGUGAAAUCAUACAGUAUUUCUUUCUCUGUCUGACUUGUUUUGCUCAAGAUCCAUCCAUGGUGUCUCACAUGGGAUGAGUUUGUCUGUUUUUAUGGUGGGAUGCCGCUGCAGUGUGGCCUGAUGAGAGCUGAUAGAUCCCACCUGAGAUCAGAACCUGCAAACCUUGGGUGACCGAAGCAGAGCACAUGAACUUAACCACUGUGCCACAGAGUUGGCCCCAACCAUCUCAGCUUUCAAUUGGAGUACUUCAUACAUUUCAAAUUUAAUUCAACUAUCGAUAUUGUUAACUUUUUAUCUCCCAUUCUGCUGUUUCCUAUGUCUUAUGUGCUUUUGUGCCUUUUUUACUGCUUUUUCAUAUCAAAUAUAUUUUUUUC